GUGUAACUUCGGUUUCACACAUAAUAAUGCUGGAUUGAUACAGAGAAGGUUAGCAUGGCCCCUGCGCAAGGAUGACACGCACAAUCGAGACGCAAUCCUGUUUUGU
Molecule: small nuclear RNA, 106 nt
Organism: Limanda limanda (common dab)
Lineage: Eukaryota; Metazoa; Chordata; Actinopteri; Pleuronectiformes; Pleuronectidae
Source: RefSeq, a predicted model, not a curated record